GGUUUCCAGUGCAGGUCUAGGCCAUUGUAAUACAGUAUAAUGUGACUUUGACAGGGACAUAUGGCGGGGUGUGGGAGCCAGAGGAGAGACAGGCACCUCACUCAGACUGAGAUGGUCAGAGAAGGCCUCCUGGAAGCGGUGACAGAUAACAUCGAAGCUGAAACCUAAAGGUUGCAUGGGAGUCAGUCAGGUGAAGGAGGUGGGAGGGGAGGGUUUAGAAUAUUCCAGGCAGGAUUAUCAGCAUACAGGGAAGCCCAGAGGCAUAAGAAAGCCUAUCAGGGAACGACAGGAAGCUCUGAAGCUCUGGGUGUGGCUGCAGUGCAAGGUGGUCGUGGCAUGGGGACUAACCAACUGGAAGGCUGGACGAGCCUAUGGGGAGAGGUUACCUAAGGCUUUCCUGGCCCAGCAGGAGAAGAGAUUCCAGGAAACCAAUAAAGGGUUUAAGCAAGAGAGUGAGGAAAUCGGACUGUAUUUCUUCUUGUCUCCUAGGGGAGCGGGUUUCAAACUGGGAGUCCUAAAAUCAAUUUAGAAGGUUUCGACCAGCAUUAAAUAAAACGAAAUGGAAUAGAAAAUAUGAGAACUCAGAAUACACAGUAAAUGUUAAGUAUUGUUUUGUAAAACAUUUCUAUUUUUUUUUUGUUUGUUUUUGAUAAAAAUAUGUGUACUGGGUCACUAUAUUAAAGAGAUUUGGCCGCUGAUGGCAGCAGCAAACAUCUGAAAGCCACUGCCCCACCUGAAAUGUGUCCCAUAGUUGGUGAGUCGUAAAUGUGGAAUGGCUGACUGAGAAGGCUGAGGGAGCCGGCGCCUGCUGGGUGGAAAGGCUGAUGCCGACGCUGGCCGACUGCCACCCCAGCUCCCCACCCUGAGGCCCAGCUAGUGGAAAUGCUCACACUAAUGAUGGCCUGCUGCGCGUCGUUGUUAUGGACAAUCUUCGCUCUCUCCAGGGCCUUCUCAAAGUUGCUAACGGCUGACUCAAAGUCUUUCAGCUUCACUGGAGAGCAAGGAGAGAAGGCACAGGUAGAUGGCGACACUGUGCUGCACGAUGCAGCUGCCUCACAGCCACCCAGCCACUCCCCGAGACAGGGGCACCAUCACUGAGCCACUCUGCACCGCCCUUUCCGUAUUCCUGGGCCUACCUACCACCGAGGACCUGAAGCUGGGAACCUGAACCUUGGAUUUCAGGCCAGAGGAAGGGACACAAGAGGCCAUUCAGGAACCCAGAUGACACAUAGCAGAAGGCUGCUGGUGAACAUAGAACAAGUCCGUGUCAAUCAAGGAGUGGGGACCUGAAGGACAACUUCUCUCCUGGCUAAACAUCAGGGAGCUAAGCAAAUGGGCCCGAGGAGCUGGCUCUCCUGGAGCCAGCCGGUCUCCCAGUCAGGGUCUUACCGCCGAGUCUCCCUGGGGCUGAGCCCAUCCCACUCUAGCAGUAAACCAGCCCAGGGCUGGACAUCAAAAGUCUGGCAGUUGGGCUAUUUGGAGAGCUCUGGCACAGUUGUCAGUGGCCCCGCAUGACCACCGAGAGUCCGAGACUAGGCUCAAAAGGCCAAUUGGUCCACCAGUUCCUGAAAUUGCCCAGCGGUAAGAAUCACCUGGACUGCUUGUUAAGUUCCUGAGCUCUAACCCAGACCUGAAGAAUCAGAAGUUCCCAGGGAGAGGCCCAGUAAUUCAUGCAUUUGUUAAGUGCUCCCGGUGAUUCGUAUCACUGGGAAAGCUUAAAAUGCUGAUCCUAUUCCAACAAUUUAAUUCAUGAGCCCCAGAUUAAAAACUGACUUGCCCAUGAUCUCAUACACAGAAAACCUUAAGGGAUCCUCAAGAAAACUACUGAAACUAAUAGAAGAGUUCAGCAGAGUGUCAGGACACAAGAUAAACAUACAAAGAUCAGUUGGAUUCCUCUACACCAACAAAAAGAACAUCGAAGAGGAAAUCACCAAAUCAAUGCCAUUUACAGUAGCCCCCAAGAAGAUAAAAUACUUAGGAAUAAAUCUUACCAGAGAUGUAAAAGACUUAUACAAAGAAAACUACAAAACACUUCUGCAAGAAACCAAAAGAGACUUACAUAAGUGGAAAAACAUACCUCGCUCACGGAUAGGAAGACAACAUUAUAAAAAUGCCUAUUCCACUAAAAGCGAUCUAUACAUUAAAUGCAAUUCCGAUUCAAAUUCCAACGACAUUCUUUAAUGAGAUGCAGAAACAAAUCACCAACUUCAUGUGGAAGGGUAAGAGGCCCCGGAUAAACAAGGCAUUACCGAAAAAGAAGAACAAAGUGGGAGGCCUUACUCUACCUGAUUUUAGAGCCUAUUAUACCACCACAGUAGUCAAAACAGCCUGGUACUGGUACAACAACACAUACAUGGACCAAUGGAACAGAAUUGAGAAUCCAGACAUAAAUCCAUCCAUAUAUGAGCAGUUGAUGUUUGACAAAGGCCCCAAAACAGUUAAAUGGGGAAAAGACAAUCUUUUUAACAAACAGUGCGGGCAUAACUGGAUAUCCAUCUGCAAAAAAAUGAAACAAGACCCAUACCUCACUCCAUGCACAAAAACAAGCUCAAAAUGGAUCAAAGACCUAAAUAUAAAAUCUAAAACGAUAAAGAUCAUGGAAGAAAAAAUAACGAGCAUGUUAGGAGCCCAAAUACAUGGCAUAAACUGUAUACAAAACAUUACUAACAAUGCAGAAGAAAAACUAGAUAACUGGGAGCUCCUAAAAAUCAAACACCUAUGCUCAUCCAAAGACUUCACCAAAAGAGUAAAAAGACUACCCACAGACUGGGAAAAAGUUUUUAGCUAUGACAUUUCUGAUUAGCGCCUGAUCUCUAAAAUCUACAUGAUACUGCAAAAACUCAACUGCAAAAAGACAAAUAACCCAAUUAAAAAAUGGGCAAAAGAUACAAAUAUACACUUCACUAAAGAAAACAUUCAGGUAGCUAACAGAUAUAUGAGGAAAUGUUCACAAUCAUUUGCCAUUAGGGAAAUGCAGAUCAAAACUACAAUGAGAUUUCAUCUCACUCCAACAAGGCUGGCAUUAAUCCAAAAAACACAAAAUAAUAAAUGUUGGACAGGCUGUGGAGAGAUUGGAACACUUCUACACUGCUGGUGGGAAUGUCAAAUGGUACAACCACUUUGGAAAUUAAUUUGGCGUUUCCUUACAAAGCUAGAAAUAGAACUACCAUAUGAUCCAGCAAUCCCACUCCUUGGAAUAUAUCCUAGAGAAAUAAGAGCCUUUACACGAACAGAUACAUGCACGCCCAUGUUCGUUGCAGCACUGUUUACAAUAGCAAAAAGAUGGAAGCAACCAUGGUGCCCAUCAACGGAUGAAUGGAUAAAUAAAUUAUGGUAUAUUCACACAAUGGAAUACUAUGCAUCGAUAAAGAACAGUGAUGAAUCUGUGAAACAUUUCAUAACAUGGAGGAAUCUGGAUGGCAUUAUGCUGAGUGAAAUUAGUUGCAAAAGGACAAAUAUAAGACCACUAUUAUAAGAACUCAAGAAAUAGUUUAAACAGAUAAGAAAAUAUUCUUUGAUGCUUAUGAGACGUGUGAGGGAUGGAGGAUGGGGGGAUAUUCACUAGUUAGAUACUAGGUAGGAACUACUUUGGGUGAUGGGAAAGAAAACACACAAUACAGGCGAGGUCAGCACAACUGGACCAAACUAAAAGCGAAGAAGUUUCUGGAGUAAACUGAUGCUUUGAAGGCCAGCAUAGCAGGGACGGGGGUUUGGGGACCAUAUUUUCAGGGGACACCUAAGUCAACUGGCAUAAUAAAAUCUAUUAAGAAAACAUUCUGCAUCCCACCUUGGAGGGAGCUAUUUGGGGUCUUAAACGCUAGCAAGCGGCCAUCUAAGAUGCAUCAAUUGGUCUCAACCCACCUGUAUCAAAGGAGAACGAAAAACACCAAGGAUACAAGGUAAUUAUGAGCCCAAGAGACAGAAAGGGCCACAUAAACCAGAGACUAUAUCAGCCUGAGACCAGAAGAGCUAGAUGGUGUCUGGCUACAACCGAUGACUACCCUGGCAGGGACCACAACAGAGAACCCCUAAGGGAGCAGGGGAGCAGUGGGAUGCAGACCCCAAAUUCUCAUAAAAAGACCAGACUUAAUGGUCUGACUAAGACUAGAAGGACCCCGGAGGUCAUGGUCCCCAGACCUUCUGUUAGCCCAAGACAGGAACCAUUCCCAAAGCCAACUCUUCAGACAGGGAUUGGACUGGACAAUGGGUUGGAGAGGGAUGCUGGUGAGGAGUGAGCUUCUUGGAUCAGGUGGACACUUGAGACUAUGUUGACAUCUCCUGCCUGGAGGGGAGAUGAGAAGGUAGAGGGGGUUAGAAGCUGGUGAAAUGGACACGAAAAGAGAGAGUGGAGGGAGGGAGUGGGCUGUCUCAUUAGGCGGAGAGCAACUGGGAGUAUGUAGCAAGGUGUAUAUAAGUUUUUGUGUGAGAGACUGACUUGAUUUGUAGACUUUCACUUAAAGCACAAUAAAAAUUAAAAAAAAAAAAAAGUAAAUGGUGCCAUGGAACGGCAACUAUGUCUUCACUCAUACAGUAUCUGUGCCUGGAUUAGCCAAAUAAAAACCACAAUGGCUGUAAAAAAAAAAAAAAAAAAAAACUGACUUGCCCACGAUUUUCUGGCAGAGGCAGAGCCAGGAGCCAAAGCCAGGUCUUCCAAUGCCUCUUUGCCUGGCAUCUUGGCCCCAGGCUGUAAGCCCACUGUGGAGCUGGAAGUGCUGGUCCCAUGGUGGGGUGGGAGGCAGUCCUUGGUCACUCACGUGUCAAUGGCUUGCUGGAAUUUCCCAACUCUAGCAAAAACCCUGCCGAUAUUGUCGAGGGCUCUGGAUUUGGCAUCAGGAAGGUCACUGCGGGGAAGAAGCAAAAUAAAUUGUUCACUAGAAAUUGGCUGUUCUUGGCACCAUGGAAAGAGAAAAGAAGGCAAAGACGGGCCCUGGCCUGCAGAAUCCAUUUGGAGGGACAAUGCCUGUGCAAGGCUGUGGCACACAGGACCCUCAUGCCCUGUGGCUGGGAAUGAAUUUAUUGGGACCUUUCUGGAGGGUAAUCGAUAAAAAUGUCACUUUGAUUCUGUGAUUCUCCUUCUAGGAAUUUACCUCAAGAAAAUAAUGUGACAAGAACAUCUGUUAAAGUGCUGUUCAUAAGAAUGAAAAUUAGAAACAACCUAAACGUUAUCAAAGCCCUAGCAAUGACAAUUUUUGUGUAUGAAAAAAUAUCCAUGAUAUAAACUCAUGGUGACCCUAUAGGACAGGGUAGGACUCCCCAUGGGAUUUCCAAGACUGUAAAUCUUUAUGGAAGCAGACUGCUACAUCUUUGUCCCACGGAGCAGCUGGUAGGUUCAAACUGCUGACCCUUCAGUUACCAGCCGAGCACUUAACCAGUGUACCACCAGGGCUCCUUUAUCCAUGAUAUAUUAAGAUGAAGAUCAGACAACCAGACAGUAUAUGAUGUAUACUGUCUGUCAUGGAUUGAAUUGUGUCUCCCAGAAAUAUGUUAUCAAUUUGGUUAAGCCACCAUUUACAGUAUUGUGUGACUGUCCACCAUUUUGUCAUCUGAUGUGAUUUUCCUAUGUGUUGUAAAUCCUACCUCUAUGAUGUUGAUGAGAUGGGAUUAGUGGCAGUUAUAUUAAUGAGGCAGAACUCAAUCUACAAAUUUGGAUUGUGUCUUGAGCCAACCUCUUUAUCCCUUUGAAAAGAGAAGCGAGCAGAGAGAGACAGGGACCUCAUACCACCAAGAAAGAAGUGCCAGGAGAAGAGCACAUCCUUUGCACCCGGGGUCUCUGUGCUGAGAAGCAACUAGUCCAGGGGAAGAUUAAUGACAAGGGCCUUCUUCCAGAGCCGACAGAGAGAGAAAGCCUUCCCCUGGAGCUGACGCCCUGAAUUUGGACUUCUGUCUAUCAGACUGUGAGAGAAUAAAUUUCUCUUCGUUAAAGCCAUCCACUUGUAUUUCUGUUACAGCAGCACUAGAUAACCAAGAUACUGUCCCAUUUAUGUUAAAAAUAAACCCCUGAAACUAUUGUCUUGAGAUAAUCUUUAAACCUUAAACCAAAAAUAUCCCCUGAAGUCAGUCUUCUUAAAACUAAAGUGUUGUUGUUGUUGUUGUUAGAUGCCAUCGAGUCAAUUCCAACUCAUAGCAAUCCCUAUGUACAACAGAACAAAACAUUGCCUGGUCCUGAGCCAUCCUUACAAUCGUUAUGCUCAAGCCCAUUGUUGCAGCCACUGUGUCGAUCCAUCUCAUUGAGGGUCUUCCUCUUUUUCAAUGACCCUCUACCAAGCCUGAUGUCCUUCUUCAGGGACAGAUCCCUCCUGCUAACAUGUCCAAAGUAUGUGAGAUGAAGUCUUGCCGUCCUGGCUUCUAAGAAGCAUUCUGGCUGUACUUCUUCCAAGACAGAUUUGUUCAUUCUUCUGGCAGUCCAUGGUAUAUUCAAUAUUCUUUGUCAACACCAUAAUUCAAAGGCAUCAAUUCUUCUUCGGUCUUCUUUACUCAUUGUCCAGCUUUUGCAUGCAUAUGAAGUGACUGAAAAACCAUGGCUUGGGUGAGGCAUAUCUCAGUCCUCAAAAUGACAUUUUUGCUGGCUCCCGAAAACCCUUUUAAUUCACUACUUAAGCUACUCCUAAGGUUUACCCUUCAGCCAAAGAUUAGGCAGCCCCACAAAGCAAAACGAGACUAAAUGGGCACACCAGCCCAAGGGCAAGGACGAGAAAGCAGGAGGGAACAGGAAAGCCGGAAGAACGGAAACGGGGAACCCAAGGUCAAGAAGGGGAGAGUGUUGACAUGUCACGGGGCUGGCAACCAAUGUCAUAAAACAGUAUGUGUAUUAAUUGUUUAACGAGAAACUAAUUUGCUCUGUAAAUCUUCAUCUAAAGCACACACAAAAAAAUGACAUUCUUGCUUUUUCAUACUUUAAAGAGGUCUUUUGCAGCAUGUUUGCCCAAUGCAAUGUGUUGUUUGACUUCUUGACUGCUGCUUCCAUGGGCGUUGAUUGUAAAUCCAAGAAAAAUGAAAUCCUUGACAACUUUUCUCAGUUUAUCGUGAUGUUGCUUAAUGGUCCAGUUGUGAGAAUUUUUGUUUUCUUUAUGUUCAGGUGUAAUCCAUAUCGAAGGUUGUAGUC
Loxodonta africana (African savanna elephant) is the source of this 7102-nucleotide long non-coding RNA. RefSeq lists it as uncharacterized. Lineage: Eukaryota; Metazoa; Chordata; Mammalia; Proboscidea; Elephantidae. The record is from RefSeq and is a predicted model, not a curated record. The transcript has 2 exons.